GAUUCGGUUUCGGCCACUGUUAUUGUAAUCGCAGCCUUGAAUCAGA
This 46-nucleotide ribosomal RNA is filed under the name Halomonhystera disjuncta. Its description in RNAcentral is "partial 28S ribosomal RNA". The record is from RNAcentral. Lineage: Eukaryota; Metazoa; Nematoda; Chromadorea; Monhysterida; Monhysteridae.